Long non-coding RNA from Pantherophis guttatus, 906 nucleotides. RefSeq lists it as uncharacterized. NCBI's taxonomy places the organism in Eukaryota, Metazoa, Chordata, Lepidosauria, Squamata, Colubridae. The record is from RefSeq and is a predicted model, not a curated record.
CCACCACAGGUGCCCCCGACAUGAAUGACGUCGAUCUGGCCACACUACCCACGCCCACGCCUACCCCAGCCUCCCGAGGUCAAACAUAACCCUGAUGCAGCCCUCAAUGAAAUUGAGUUUGACACCCCUGUCUUACAUGAUGUCUGGCUUGGAACAAGGUCCUAGUCAAUGUCAUGAUCCAGGACAUGACUUCAACCAAUGAUGAGGCAAUGAGGCUAAAAAGGAGAAAUAAAAAAAUGAAGAUUUUAAGCCUGAGCUUACUGAGUUUUAUCCAAGGUUUUUUUACUUUCAUCUCUUUCUCCAUACAGGGUUGAUUCCUCUUUAAAGGAAGAUCUAGAUGAAGAGAACAAUAAGUAGCAAGUUACUUCUGGAAACUGAAAUGGAAGAGGGAGCUUUGGUGUUGUUAUGCAAGAACCUAACCCUCUCCCUCAGGUGUAGGUUGAUGCCCUUGCGAUAAAUAGAAAGAAGCCAAAGCUGAAGGUGACUGCUAGCCCAACAAAGAAUACAUUCGCUCGUGGCACAGUGGAGAUGGGCUUGGUGGAUGCUGAAAGUUUUUGCUUCCAGAUGAAUAGAGAACAACUGGCAUUCACAAUCUUCAAUGACAGCUGAAUGGCCUUUACAGCUUUUCCAACCAGGUUCCAGCUUUGGAUGCCGUGAGAAUACCAGAAAAUCAGAAGAAACAAGUCUGAAACUGGACUGGCUCAUCACAAGAAAAAUGCAUAAAUACAGACCACUUAUUUCAGUGAGAAAUAACCUUAUAUGGCAAAAGAAAGAGAGAAACAGGUACAAGAUUUUAAUCUGAGACUGCUAUGCACAUGAUAUGGAAUGGAUAUGGAUAUGGAAUCCUAGAAUUUAUAGUCACUGAUUUUCAUUUUAUUAAAGUGUUCUCUACAAUCCAAAAUGAAA